AGGGUUCGAUUCUGGCUCAGGAUGAACGCUGGCGGCGUGCUUAACACAUGCAAGUCGAACGGGAUCCAUCAAGCUUGCUUGGUGGUGAGAGUGGCGAACGGGUGAGUAAUGCGUGACCGACCUGCCCCAUACACCGGAAUAGCUCCUGGAAACGGGUGGUAAUGCCGGAUGCUCCAGUUGAUCGCAUGGUCUUCUGGGAAAGCUUUCGCGGUAUGGGAUGGGGUCGCGUCCUAUCAGCUUGACGGCGGGGUAACGGCCCACCGUGGCUUCGACGGGUAGCCGGCCUGAGAGGGCGACCGGCCACAUUGGGACUGAGAUACGGCCCAGACUCCUACGGGAGGCAGCAGUGGGGAAUAUUGCACAAUGGGCGCAAGCCUGAUGCAGCGACGCCGCGUGAGGGAUGGAGGCCUUCGGGUUGUAAACCUCUUUUAUCGGGGAGCAAGCGAGAGUGAGUUUACCCGUUGAAUAAGCACCGGCUAACUACGUGCCAGCAGCCGCGGUAAUACGUAGGGUGCAAGCGUUAUCCGGAAUUAUUGGGCGUAAAGGGCUCGUAGGCGGUUCGUCGCGUCCGGUGUGAAAGUCCAUCGCUUAACGGUGGAUCCGCGCCGGGUACGGGCGAGCUUGAGUACGGUAGGGGAGACUGGAAUUCCCGGUGUAACGGUGGAAUGUGUAGAUAUCGGGAAGAACACCAAUGGCGAAGGCUGGUCUCUGGGCCGUUACUGACGCUGAGGAGCGAAAGCGUGGGGAGCGAACAGGAUUAGAUACCCUGGUAGUCCACGCCGUAAACGGUGGAUGCUGGAUGUGGGGCCCGUUCCACG
This 818-nucleotide ribosomal RNA is filed under the name human gut metagenome. RNAcentral describes it as "bacterial SSU rRNA". It matches the Rfam family "Bacterial small subunit ribosomal RNA", at positions 8 to 845 of the family's 1533-position model. The record is from RNAcentral.